This 260-nucleotide unclassified non-coding RNA is filed under the name Hevea brasiliensis (rubber tree). The record is from RNAcentral. Lineage: Eukaryota; Viridiplantae; Streptophyta; Magnoliopsida; Malpighiales; Euphorbiaceae.
GGAAAGAAGAUAGCUUUUGUUAUGGCUCAUUUGAGAAGAUGGAAGAAGGAAUCUGCUUUCUUCAAGAGAGCCAAGAAGCUUUUUGAUGUCCAAAUCAUACAUACCGAGCCUCCGCCCGAUGGGUCUAGGAUUGGGGUGGUUGUAUACCUUUUCACCGGGAAAAGAUAGCCACUAUAGUCAAUCAAGGCUAGAUGUUGGUGGGAUGUCAGUCUGAAUCUUAUUGUCAUGUCAUGUAUAACAAUGGGGAUGGGGUUAGCCCA